UGGGAAUUUGGACAAUGGGCGCAAGCCUGAUCCAGCCAUGCCGCGUGCGGGAAGAAGGCCUUCGGGUUGUAAACCGCUUUUGUCAGGGAAGAAAUCUUCUGAGUUAAUACCUCGGGAGGAUGACGGUACCCGAAGAAUAAGCACCGGCUAACUACGUGCCAGCAGCCGCGGUAAUACGUAGGGUGCAAGCGUUAAUCGGAAUUACUGGGCGUAAAGCGUGCGCAGGCGGUUUUGUAAGACAGAGGUGAAAUCCCCGGGCUCAACCUGGGAACUGCCUUUGUGACGCAAGGCUUGAGUGCGGCAGAGGGGGAUGGAAUUCCGCGUGUAGCAGUGAAAUGCGUAGAUAUGCGGAGGAACACCGAUGGCGAAGGCAAUCCCCUGGGCCUGCACUGACGCUCAUGCACGAAAGCGUGGGGAGCAAACAGGAUUAGAUACCCUGGUAGUCCACGCCCUAAACGAUGUCAACUGGUUGUUGGGAAGGUUCCUUCUCAGUAACGUAGCUAACGCGUGAAGUUGACCGCCUGGGGAGUACGGCCGCAAGGUUGAAACUUAAAUGAAUUGACGGGGUCAUAGCUGUUUCCUG
RNAcentral lists this ribosomal RNA (583 nucleotides) under uncultured bacterium. RNAcentral's name for it is "partial 16S ribosomal RNA". It matches the Rfam family "Bacterial small subunit ribosomal RNA", at positions 357 to 1376 of the family's 1533-position model. The record is from RNAcentral.